GCCUGGGUGGCUCAGUGGGUUGAGCGUCCGACUUCGGUUCAGGUCAUGAUCUUGCAGUUCGUGUGUUCAAGCCCCACCUCAGGCU
This 85-nucleotide transfer RNA is filed under the name Felis catus (domestic cat). It matches the Rfam family "tRNA". From Rfam's summary of the family: Transfer RNA (tRNA) molecules are approximately 80 nucleotides in length. Their secondary structure includes four short double-helical elements and three loops (D, anti-codon, and T loops). RNAcentral also lists the same sequence under 1 other name. Lineage: Eukaryota; Metazoa; Chordata; Mammalia; Carnivora; Felidae. The record is from Rfam by way of RNAcentral.